UUUGCCAAUUUUCAAAGAAAUUCUUCAUUCUCAGCGGCAACCAUGAGCGGCCAUGGAACCCUCGCCCUUUCUUCCUCAUCAUCAUCCAAUCUCCUUCAAUUUCUCAUACAAGUAUCGGAACCCUUGAGGGAAUCAAUUUCCGCAACUUCGUACGCCCCGCCGCCUGCCCACGCCAAUGUCUCCGUCAAAUCCCUGCUCCUAUCUCUCCUCCCGGACCCCUCCGUUCCCGAUCAACAGCUCCAAACCAAAAUUAAAGACUUCGCUCUCUGCUGCGCGGCGCUGGCUUCUUCUUCUUCCUCCCCAAACUUCCCCAGCCAGCAUCUCUCGUGGGUCCCUGAGUCGCUCUCCGACUGCGCCGUUUCUGCGUGGAAAGACUUUACAACGGCUUAUUAUGACGAUGCCAUGCGCUCGAAGUGUUCGACGCAAGUCCUCGGCGAACUGGAGUUGGAUUUGAGGGAGGUGUCGGAUUGUGAAAAGAAGCUGGCAAUUGAGUUGAUGCCAGAGGUCUUGCCUCUGCUCAAGAGUAGCAUAAAGGAGAGCGCCAUUGGCCCCGACGAAGAGAGUGGCGCAGUUUCAGCUGCCAGCGCCAGGGUUCCUGUGGCUUAUGCCAUUUUGGCUGCCUAUCAGUUCAGAUGGUUUGUUACCCAGGUGGGAGCUCCACAAUUAGGGAAAUUGUGUCCUUUGGUGAUUCCAUGUGCUUUGACAGCAUUAGACCACUGGUCUCCAGAAGUAAAAGGCCAAGGUAUGAUAAGCUUUAUAUGUCUUGGAAAAAAUGUUAGUGCUGCCGAGAUUGGUGGAUAUGCGGACGCAAUUCUGGACGCUUGCUGCCAAAAUAUUGCUUGUGACGAUGAGAUAUGGCAGUAUGUGGUGGAGAUGUCUGUGCUGCUUGUCACUUUAACACAGCAAUGUAAUCCUCGUAGUCCAUGGUAUGAGAAGAUACUCAAUGAAAUGCUAAAUCAUUUAGAAAGGCAGCCUAGAAACAAGCAGCGGCGCAUUGCCUGGCUGACGCAUUGCGAUUUACUUUUUAAUGGUCUUGGUCUCGUACUGCUAGCUCAUUUUAGGCGUCUGUUCCCACUUUUCUUCAAGUGGAUCCAUGCUGAUGAUGAUCAGACAGUUUUGCUGGUUCUCAAACGGAUGACUACUGUUGCAAGGCUCACGUGGAUUAGGAAUUCUCCAUUUAUUGAAAGAUUGGUGGAUGAGCUUGUUGUUCUGUACAAGGAUUCAGCUUUGAAAAUUGCUUGUGAAGAUAUUAGAUCGCUUAUUCUUCCUUUGUUAAACACGAUCCGUGUGUCCAAGCAGUCUCAGUUCGACGCCACUUGGGCCAAAUAUAAGGAUGACCCGAACCUGACGGCUCUUUCACAGCCCUUAGCUAGAAGAGAUCUGGAAAUGGUUGGCUGAGAUUGAAAUGGUGAUGGUGCAGUUUUGAACUCAAUUUCAGCUUCAGUCUCGCAGUGAUUUAUGAAUUUGAAGGUUGAAUCAUUGUGGGGGGUACUUAUUGGGCUUGAACAACGGUUUUGUGGAUAUGCGAUGUUCAACCAAACUCCUACAUAAGGUCUGGUAUCCCGUGGUAAUCCUACGCAAAAGAAUCUUGGUAUUCCCGGAUCAAUGUUGUCAAUCGCUAUUCUGUUCCGGAGGUAACACUGAAUUGAUCCACAUCACCCGGGGGCCGAAUCGUCGCCAAAGUCGAUUUCUUCUAAAGGAUCCUGAAUCUCAAACGGUGGAAUAGCCUUUCAGAUGGGAGAUGAAAGCUCUUCUUCAUUCUGAUCCCUUGGGGGAGGCGGAAAAUGUGAGGAAUCGGUCUGUCUCUUGAGAAUAUGCAUCGGGACAGAUUCAGGUCCCCAAUAGUGCUGCAUGUCUCGCGAAUCUGUCUCUCCAGGUUCCGUAACACUUCCCAAUCCUUAUUCAUUACGAACAAAUGGCAAACAGGCCAUGCGUUGGCCUCCGUAUAGAUUUCAAAUGCUUUCAUAGUGAAAUUGCAGUCCAAGUCUUUAAGAACUCCUUGGGCAAGAAGCCGACAAUAUUUACUCGAAAAUCCCUUUCGUAGCGUAGCGCCCGUUCUAAGUCCCGAUCAUUUGCAAUGAUAUCCAGACUCUCAAUCGAUGUCUUAUCAUCUAUCCUCCAUUGCUACCGUGAUUGGCUUAUCCUCCGAAAUAGUUGCUACUGGUAUCUUCGGAGGUACCUACUGGCCCAACUCAUUCAUGUCCUCCGGGACAACCUAUUUCAGCCUCCAUAAUCGCCGCGUUCUCCUCCGGGGGCAACUCCUCCACCUUUUGUGUGACUCCACUAGUAACAAUUUGUUGUCGACCUUCCUGGGGGUAGCCACUUUGCUGUUCGGAGUUGACACCACCGUCUCUGCUGUUGAGUCCUAUUGAAGGACGGAUUCCUCAUCUUUCGAUUGUCGGUCUAGCACCCGUUCUCCAGGGAUUGUCAAGGUCGUUUUGUGGCAUUAGGAGUUAUCAACACUAGCUCCCGUUCUCCAGGGGUUGUCAAGGUCGUUUUGUGGCAUUACGAGUUAUCAACACUUAGAUCAACCUAAACAUGAUGUUGAUUAGUCUUAAUCACUAAGCUAAUCAAGGCUAAUUAUAUACAUUCAAAACUUCUGAUUUAUUUUUAAAAUAUUUAAUAUUAAUUGUAAUUAAAGGGGCCUUUGGGGUUUUUGUAAUAGAUUAAGAAAUAAUAGUAUUUCAUUAGUUAGUGGAAGUGUGUAAGAGGUUUUGAUA
Molecule: RNA transcript, 2720 nt
Organism: Andrographis paniculata
Lineage: Eukaryota; Viridiplantae; Streptophyta; Magnoliopsida; Lamiales; Acanthaceae
Exons: 10
Source: RefSeq, a predicted model, not a curated record